Molecule: ribosomal RNA, 253 nt
Filed under: uncultured bacterium
Lineage: Bacteria
Description: partial 16S ribosomal RNA
Rfam family: Bacterial small subunit ribosomal RNA
Source: RNAcentral
UACGUAGGGGGCAAGCGUUGUCCGGAAUUAUUGGGCGUAAAGGGUGCGCAGGCGGCGUCGCAAGUCAGGCGUGAAAUCCCCGGGCUUAACCUGGGAACUGCACUUGAAACUACGAUGCUGGAGUAUGGCAGAGGGAGGUGGAAUUCCACGUGUAGCGGUGAAAUGCGUAGAGAUGUGGAGGAACACCGAUGGCGAAGGCAGCCUCCUGGGCCAAUACUGACGCUCAUGCACGAAAGCGUGGGGAGCAAACAGG